GCUGGGUGUGGUGGUGCACACCUGUAAUCCCAGGUACUCAGGAGGCCGAGACAGGAGACUCACUUGAACCUGGGAGGCAGAGAUUGCAGUGAACCAAGAUUGAGCCACUGCACUCCAGCCUGAGUGACAGAGUGAGACUCUGUCUCAA
Macaca mulatta (Rhesus monkey) is the source of this 148-nucleotide unclassified non-coding RNA. It matches the Rfam family "Metazoan signal recognition particle RNA". From Rfam's summary of the family: The signal recognition particle (SRP) is a universally conserved ribonucleoprotein. It is involved in the co-translational targeting of proteins to membranes. Lineage: Eukaryota; Metazoa; Chordata; Mammalia; Primates; Cercopithecidae. The record is from Ensembl.